AACGAACGCGGGCGGCAUGCCUAACACAUGCAAGUCGAACGAGACCUUCGGGUCUAGUGGCGCACGGGUGCGUAACGCGUGGGAACCUGCCCUUAGGUUCGGAAUAACUCCCCGAAAGGGGUGCUAAUACCGGAUAAUGUCUUCGGACCAAAGAUUUAUCGCCUUUGGAUGGGCCUGCGUUGGAUUAGCUAGUUGGUAGGGUAAAAGCCUACCAAGGCGACGAUCCAUAGCUGGUCUGAGAGGAUGAUCAGCCACACUGGGACUGAGACACGGCCCAGACUCCUACGGAAGGCAGCAGUGGGGAAUAUUGGACAAUGGGCGGAAGCCUGAUCCAGCAAUGCCGCGUGAAUGAUGAAGGCCUUAGGGUUGUAAAGCUCUUUUACCCGGGAUGAUAAUGACAGUACCGGGAGAAUAAGCUCCGGCUAACUCCGUG
RNAcentral lists this ribosomal RNA (433 nucleotides) under uncultured bacterium. Its description in RNAcentral is "partial 16S ribosomal RNA". It matches the Rfam family "Bacterial small subunit ribosomal RNA", at positions 29 to 507 of the family's 1533-position model. The record is from RNAcentral.